This 279-nucleotide ribosomal RNA is filed under the name uncultured bacterium. RNAcentral describes it as "partial 16S ribosomal RNA". It matches the Rfam family "Bacterial small subunit ribosomal RNA", at positions 506 to 784 of the family's 1533-position model. The record is from RNAcentral.
UGCCAGCAGCCGCGGUAAUACGGAGGGGGUUAGCGUUGUUCGGAAUUACUGGGCGUAAAGCGUACGUAGGCGGAUCAGAAAGUAGGGGGUGAAAUCCCAGGGCUCAACCCUGGAACUGCCUCCUAAACUCCUGGUCUUGAGUUCGAGAGAGGUGAGUGGAAUUCCAAGUGUAGAGGUGAAAUUCGUAGAUAUUUGGAGGAACACCAGUGGCGAAGGCGGCUCACUGGCUCGAUACUGACGCUGAGGUACGAAAGUGUGGGGAGCAAACAGGAUUAGAUA